This 1372-nucleotide ribosomal RNA is filed under the name uncultured bacterium. RNAcentral's name for it is "bacterial SSU rRNA". It matches the Rfam family "Bacterial small subunit ribosomal RNA", at positions 28 to 1381 of the family's 1533-position model. The record is from RNAcentral.
GAUGAACGCUGGCGGCGUGCCUAAUACAUGCAAGUCGAGCGAACGGACGAGAAGCUUGCUUCUCUGAUGUUAGCGGCGGACGGGUGAGUAACACGUGGAUAACCUACCUAUAAGACUGGGAUAACUUCGGGAAACCGGAGCUAAUACCGGAUAAUAUUUUGAACCGCAUGGUUCAAAAGUGAAAGACGGUCUUGCUGUCACUUAUAGAUGGAUCCGCGCUGCAUUAGCUAGUUGGUAAGGUAACGGCUUACCAAGGCAACGAUGCAUAGCCGACCUGAGAGGGUGAUCGGCCACACUGGAACUGAGACACGGUCCAGACUCCUACGGGAGGCAGCAGUAGGGAAUCUUCCGCAAUGGGCGAAAGCCUGACGGAGCAACGCCGCGUGAGUGAUGAAGGUCUUCGGAUCGUAAAACUCUGUUAUUAGGGAAGAACAUAUGUGUAAGUAACUGUGCACAUCUUGACGGUACCUAAUCAGAAAGCCACGGCUAACUACGUGCCAGCAGCCGCGGUAAUACGUAGGUGGCAAGCGUUAUCCGGAAUUAUUGGGCGUAAAGCGCGCGUAGGCGGUUUUUUAAGUCUGAUGCGAAAGCCCACGGCUCAACCGUGGAGGGUCAUUGGAAACUGGAAAACUUGAGUGCAGAAGAGGAAAGUGGAAUUCCAUGUGUAGCGGUGAAAUGCGCAGAGAUAUGGAGGAACACCAGUGGCGAAGGCGACUUUCUGGUCUGUAACUGACGCUGAUGUGCGAAAGCGUGGGGAUCAAACAGGAUUAGAUACCCUGGUAGUCCACGCCGUAAACGAUGAGUGCUAAGUGCUAGGGGGUUUCCGCCCCUUAGUGCUGCAGCUAACGCAUUAAGCACUCCGCCUGGGGAGUACGACCGCAAGGUUGAAACUCAAAGGAAUUGACGGGGACCCGCACAAGCGGUGGAGCAUGUGGUUUAAUUCGAAGCAACGCGAAGAACCUUACCAAAUCUUGACAUCCUUUGACAACUCUAGAGAUAGAGCUUUCCCCUUCGGGGGACAAAGUGACAGGUGGUGCAUGGUUGUCGUCAGCUCGUGUCGUGAGAUGUUGGGUUAAGUCCCGCAACGAGCGCAACCCUUAAGCUUAGUUGCCAUCAUUAAGUUGGGCACUCUAAGUUGACUGCCGGUGACAAACCGGAGGAAGGUGGGGAUGACGUCAAAUCAUCAUGCCCCUUAUGAUUUGGGCUACACACGUGCUACAAUGGACAAUACAAAGGGCAGCGAAACCGCGAGGUCAAGCAAAUCCCAUAAAGUUGUUCUCAGUUCGGAUUGUAGUCUGCAACUCAACUACAUGAAGCUGGAAUCGCUAGUAAUCGUAGAUCAGCAUGCUACGGUGAAUACGUUCCCGGGUCU